GCCCGGGUGGCUUAGCUGGACAUAGCGCCGCACUCAUAGGGUUUUCGAGACUCUGCGCGGCGUCGCUCCCGGUCCCGUGAGGCCCGUCAGCCUCGAACCUGGGACAUGCGGAGAUCGAGGGUUCGGAGCCCUCCCCGGGCA
RNAcentral lists this transfer RNA (141 nucleotides) under Halorientalis persicus. RNAcentral describes it as "tRNA_Met_CAT". The record is from RNAcentral. Lineage: Archaea; Methanobacteriati; Methanobacteriota; Halobacteria; Halobacteriales; Haloarculaceae.